RNA transcript from Athene cunicularia (burrowing owl), 1075 nucleotides. It is a transcript of the gene named family with sequence similarity 174 member A, with no coding region annotated. The transcript is spliced from 4 exons. Lineage: Eukaryota; Metazoa; Chordata; Aves; Strigiformes; Strigidae. The record is from RefSeq and is a predicted model, not a curated record.
UUUCCUCAGAUCACCACCGUCUGCAGCCACCCCACCCCACAUACCCAGCCAACUCACGCAGCCCUUGUCCCGCAGACGCCCGCGGGGCCCUGCAGGAGGAAAGCGGGCCCCUUAAGCAGAAGGUUGCACGCUGCAAGGCCUAGACAACUCGGUCCCCGGUGGGCGUGAGGAACCAACACUCCCUCCCACCUACCCACGCUCUACCUCCCACGCGACCCUGCUCAGGUCAACUCUACCUCACUGCAGCCGAGAGUAGGACGAAAUGGCAGCGUCGGGCGACAAGUGCUUCCGCUUCCGGCGGCCAGAUGGUGGCAUGGCCCGGCAGCAUUUAGGCUGCGCCGGGCGGUAGGAGUCCUAGGUACCCGCGGCGGGCAGGAGGAGAGGGCGACAUGUGGCUCCCGCUGCUGCUCUGGCUGCUGGCGGGGCUGCUGUCGGCUGCCUGUUGCGGGAAGGCUGUGGCGGCGGCCCUUUCCCUCCAGAGUGCUGCCACCUCCUCCUCACGGUCCACGGUGGUGACCGGCGGUGGCACCACGCGAAGCAGCAGCAGCCGCCUGGCCGAGGUAUCGGCAACGCCUGAGCAGGGCCAGCCCAUGACCCAGCGCGCCCUGUCCGUGCUGGUAGUGGCCAGCGCCGCCCUCAUCGUUUACUUCGUGAUCCGGACCGUGCGGCUCAGAAGGCGAAAUAGAAAAACACGAAGAUAUGGGGUUUUGGAUACAAACAUAGAAAACAUGGAGCUGACCCCAUUAGAGCAAGAUGAUGGUGAUGAUGACACAACAGUAUUUGAUGCCAGUCAUCCUCGAAGUUGGAGAAGGGAUGUCAAGAUCACUUGAAUUUUAAAUUGGUAAGAAUUUAGUGAGCAAGAAGAUAAACAGCAUUUGUCUUCAGCAUGUGAGUUCCAGAGAAAUGGAGAGGAAGAGAAGUACAUGCCUUUCAGUGAAACAAUCAGAACUGGAGAAGACUGCUUCAAGGGAGGAGUAAGAAGCAAGAGGGUAUGCAAGUUGGGGGGACUAAUUUAAUCUGUGUAUAUUAUGGCAUCCUUAAUUUGUUGCAAUAAAUAUUGUACCAAUUUUUUGUA